GUACAACUGGUGAUGAAAACCGAGGCCGUGCUGCUAGUUUAGCCACGGUAGUAAUCUCUAUUAUUAAAGGAGGAUCGAAGGUCGUGAUGGUUCGACCUUCAUCGUCCCCCUUCUAUCGCUAGCUCCUCCCACCCACGUCCUCCCAUGGAUUUUUUUUCAAUACUACAGUCCCUCCAAAAACCAAAGGCAAGUAAACAAAAGAACCAAGCGGUUCAUCAAUAAAAGAAACCUGAGCCGACCUCCACCGCUCCCUCGUUUCCGUUCAAAAAGAAAAAACCUCUCCCCACGAAUCACCUGCCCACGAACUCACGUCCCACACAUCCCCCCAUCUCCCCCGCAGCCCUCGGCCCAGAUCCCAUCUCUCCCCUCUCUCCUUUCUCAGAAAAAUCGCCGGCCCGGAUCUCGAUUCGCCGCUGCCGCUCCCCUCCUCGUCAGCCUCGUGGUCGCGGUGGCCGAAGUCCUGGCUGUGGACGCCGCCGCUCCCCUCCUCGUCAGCCUUGUGGUCGCGGUGGCCGUAGCCGCCGGCCCUGCACUCUCCUCUUCAGGAUGUCCCUCGUGCCACCCUCAUGUUGUUGUCGUCGCGCCGCCUCUAUACACCGGCAACCAACUGUUCAGUUCCAUGGGCCCUGAUUGUUUCUUGAAUUUCAGAUUGUUGGGCAUGAGAGCCAUCAUCGGCUGGUUGAUCCACCUCGCUAGCUCGUGUCCGUCGAGGUCGUUGACUCUUCCAUUCCUGAAUUGUUAAGCUUCGCUGCAGCAGACUCGCCUUGGAGUUUCAGUUUCGAUCACAUGCAUGACCCUGUAGGUAAAUUGCUUUUUUUCCCGUGGAUGGUCUUCAGCAUGCAGAUGGGCUUCUAUUGUACGAUGAUACUGCUGCGAACAGCGAUCAUUAUCCCGCGACUGGUGAACAAGUUGAAGUCCACAGUGAUGUAUAGCAUCAUGAGCGUAAUUAUAUGACUACUUUUUGUUACUGUUUCUACAUACAUGUUUUAUUAUAUCACAGUUCUGCUCUUUGGGUGUGCACUUAAUUUAUGGGAGGAGCCCCAAACUUUUAUUAAAGAACUUACCAAUCUUGAACCUUCAGAAUUCAGACUGGUGGAGUACCUGUCAUUUUUAGGCAAUUGGUAGUGACGUAUUUGACUCGUCAGACAUAUGUCAUAAACUUAAAACAUAUUGUUGGCUGGAUACGAGACGAUGUAGUGUUGGUUGGAUACGUGACGAUGUAGUUCCAUCACCAUUGGUGAAGUGGAUAAGCUUAGAACAUACUAUUACUUUUAGGCAAUCUGUCGCGAAUCAGCAAUAAUGACUUAGUCCGGAGGUGGAGCGGAUAGUUGACACCAUGCAGUUCAACAAUCCCUCAUAUGUGAGCAAGCCGCCUUUGGAGCUGCUCGAAGCAAGACAGGAAGCAUGUCAUGCUCAAGCUCAAGUCGUCUCGAUGGCUCGUCGACCUGAAAUGGAUGAUGCGCUCAAGUGAUGCGUUGUGCGCUCAAGUGGUCGAAGCAGAAGGAAGAAAGGUCGUCCAUAGUGUAGUCUUGCUGACCGUGGUCUUAUAUACUCAGCUGAGCAAAGCAGAUGAAGCAAAGGAAGAAAUGGAUGAGUGACAAGUUAUCAACUAUGUAGUCUUAGAGUCAAGUGACAAGUGUGUACGAGUAUUUCACGGGCAUGCUUUUCAGUAGUGCGAGUGAGAUUUUUAUUUUGACCAUUAAUUAGUGUGAAUUAUGAUGAUCACCAUUGAUCAAUUAAUGUAAGGGGUUUGUUUUACGUAAAAGCAUUGGAUCUGAUGUAUACAAGUAUCUGCCACUAGAUCUCUUUCUAUGUUUUCAUCUGUUGUAUGUUCCUGAUGCGACAGAUAAAUUCUACACUGUUGAGGUCUACACUUUUCUAAUCAGGGCACACAUACCUGUUCUUCUCCUGAAAAAUAGCUGCAAUUUGGAAUAGUUCAAGCACAGAAGUAGUCUCCCAACUCUCAAAUUGUUGCUUGUUAUAUUAAUCUGCAGACUACCAAAUUGGAAGAUUUUCAAUCAUGAUAUGAUUCUGAGAAUGGAUGCAUGAUUGCAGAUGGCUACCAAACUGUAAAAUUUCAACAUUCAAAGGAUGUAUUUUGUACUGGCAGUUUCGAUGCAUGAUUGCAGCUGCAUGUAGGUUUCGGUUUGUCCAAGAACUGUCUAUGUAUACCGAUAAUGAUUACUCCAUCCGUCCCAAAAUAAGUUUAUUUGGUUUAGUACAGUUUAUACUAUAAAACUGUACUACAUGUACUAAAUCAAAGAUACUUAUUUUGGGACCGGGGGAGUACUUUGUUUUCAAAUGGCGCCUGCUGUACGCAUGACAACUGUGCGUGUAUAAAUUAGUAUCAUGUUGCCUGCACGUUGAACUUAUAAUUCUUUUUCUGAAUAAUGUGUCAUAUUUGAUUCCUGUCAAAAUGACCAUUGCUAUUUGCUUUCUAGACAUCUUGUAUGUGGCUUGUGGUGAUGACAAUUUUUAUUUUUCUCAGGAUUUGAUUAUGAUCGUGAAGGGUACAUUACGAUUUACGAGCAUUUAAUCUUCUCUGAUAAUCAAAGUGCCGCAUAGUCUUAUGUGCAUUCAUCAGAGCUAUUCCACAAUUUUGUCCCCCUUAUGCCUUUUUACACUUUUAUAUGUGUAGCUUUUAUUUUUUUUAAGACGUUCAUUCUUUUUUUUCUAAGUCUUCAUGUGUGCAGAAUUACUUCUGCGGUGAGCCGGAGUGUGACGUCUUCUCACGGGCUACUGUCAUCAAUCAAGGUGGUCAUCGGUCGAUAUCAAGCUUGACGAGUACUUCCCGAAGGCUGAUUUCUGCUCCCGCCGCGUCGCUGACCGAGGCCCCAUCUACGUGGGAAGCUGCUAUUUUUUUGAUAGAUUGGCAGUGAGAUGCUUGGAUAGGAGAAAAGAAAUCGGAAGAGCAUGAGAGAUAGAUGUUGAGAACCUAAAUAAUGCACACACAUUUACAUAUUUCAUGUGAUGGUAGUAUGUCGUCGUAAUUUUUGUGUUGGUUGUCCUACUGAAUGUUCCUGUCAGUCCUAACUCAUCACAUCUCUCUCAAUUUUCAGUCAUGCUUGGAGCUUUUAUCUGUAACUCUACAAUAUCAGAAAGCAUGUCUAAAGCUCAAGUUUGUAUUUGUCCAUGGUCAAGAUAAGGGGCACAUAGAGCUUGGUUUGUUAAGCUUCUUUAUAUUCUCAAGGAGGUCAGGAGUUCCUCUUGAGAAGGAAGAGGACAGCCUUUAACUCAACCUACGCCUUCAGAGAGAACCGCUUGAACUCAAGAUGCUCCUCCCAGUCAUUUGAUCGAUGCAAAAAUAACCUUUUAUGAGAGUGACCUAAAAGUCAAAUGUUUUACAUUAAGCAUACAUCUCUUGUAGGUCUAUUUAACUUUGGGUUUGGGAGUAUUAUAUGUUGUUUGAGAGGGUCUAUUUUUUUUGAGAAAAUAAGAUUUUGUUCUUUGUU
Long non-coding RNA from Triticum aestivum (bread wheat), 3452 nucleotides. RefSeq lists it as uncharacterized. The record is from RefSeq and is a predicted model, not a curated record. The transcript is spliced from 2 exons. NCBI's taxonomy places the organism in Eukaryota, Viridiplantae, Streptophyta, Magnoliopsida, Poales, Poaceae.